GUCUUUUUGAGUAUAAUUUAAAGUCUAGCCUGCCCAAUGAAUUGUUUAAUGGCCGCAGUAUUUUAACUGUGCAAAGGUAGCAUAAUAAUUAGUUUUUUAAUUGAAAACUGGUAUGAAUGGUUGGACGAGAAAAAAGCUGUCUCAAUUUAAAUUUGAUUAGAAUUUUAUUUUUAAGUUAAAAAGCUUAAAUAUUUUUAAAAGACGAGAAGACCCUAUAGAGUUUUAUAUUAUAUUUUUAUUUUAUUUAUAAAGUAUUGAUUUGUUUUAUUUUAAUAUAGUAUUUUGUUGGGGUGAUAUAAAAAUUUAAGUAACUUUUUAUUUUAAUUUACAUUGAUAUAUGAUUAAUUGAGCCAUAUUUUAUGAUUAAAAGAUUAAAUUACCUUAGGGAUAACAGCGUAAUUUUUUUUUAGAGUUCUUAUCGAAAAAAAAGUUUGCGACCUCGAUGUUGAUUAAAA
This 455-nucleotide ribosomal RNA is filed under the name Dialytes sp. BMNH 703556. Its description in RNAcentral is "partial 16S ribosomal RNA". The record is from RNAcentral. Lineage: Eukaryota; Metazoa; Arthropoda; Insecta; Coleoptera; Scarabaeidae.